GAUUCCUAGUGGGGAAUGGGGCAGGGUUUCAAAUUGCCCAGUGGUAUAUACUUAGUAUUCAAAGCCUCUCUGCUCUGGGGUUUUUGUUUUUAAACCUUGGCACUUCAUCUUUCAGCUUCCAUUGUGUAAAAGAGAUAAUGAUCCCUGAUGUUGCUGCUUCACAGAGCUGUGCUUGAGAGGGAUCAAAUGAGGCUGAUGAGUAGGUUGGUUGGUUGGUUGUGUUAAAUUGAAGAUAUGAGCAAUUUCCAAUGAGGAUUAGGCCAAAGAUUUCUGGGACAUCGAUGAGAUGAGCAAGCAGUGGCUGGGGCUUCCCUUUAAUUUGGGCCCCUGAGGAUAAGGGUUACUCAGCUGGGAAUCUCCCACCAUUACUGACUGACUGUGAACCUGAGCAAGUGAGUCACGGAGCAUUUGCUGGACUUAGAGCAAAGAAUUUGUUCUGUGUUCCUCACCAGAGGUGUUUUGUGAAAAGUGAGUGCUUUAGAAGUGGUUUGCCUUUAGAAAUGUUAAGCACUGUGAAUAUGGGCAGUAUUUCCUCUUAGGACAGGUAUUUCUUUUAAAAAAAAAAAAGACAAAAAAAACCCUCUAAGUCAAAUAUUUAUCACAGCAGCUAUUUGCAUCACAGAGAAUAGACUUAAAGUGAACAAUAAAGAUGAUAAGCAGUCUCUUCUAUGUUUCAAAAUCGCAUUGAAACAUAUUUUUAAAAAUUUAAGUUUCUCAAAAAUAUAAAAAUAAGAACCAGUUGUCUCAAAACUCAACAGAUCUGUGGAAUCCACAACUUCAUACAAUGUUCAAAGUAUUUCCUCAGCAGAAUGCUGGAAUAAUGCCAAAAUCAAAGUUAAUAGAGGUCUGGAGAUUAAAUGUUGGAUUAGCAGAGCCAAGACCUGCAGGUGUAGCUGGUCUUUUUUAGAUGUUUGACUCGUUUUGUUACUUUGUAUUUCCAGGAAAUUACUUCAGAUUUUUAAAAUUUGUUGUCUUUCAGAGAACCAGCUCUCAGACUUAACAGUUUUAUUGGAGUUCUGUAUUGUAAUAUAUUCAUUUCUGCUUUAAACAUUCAUUUCUUAUGCUUUCCUAAGGGUUUUUAAAAAUCUUUUAUUGUAGAAAUUUUCACCCAUGCAAAAAUAAAAUGUCUCAGUUUUUCAAUCUUA
RNAcentral lists this long non-coding RNA (1145 nucleotides) under Phocoena sinus (vaquita). Its description in RNAcentral is "lncRNA (ENSPSNG00000007297.1)". The record is from RNAcentral. Lineage: Eukaryota; Metazoa; Chordata; Mammalia; Artiodactyla; Phocoenidae.